GGGGAAGAGAGAGUCAAGAGGACCUGAGAGAUACAAGUUUAUAUAAAGAGGAGAGCAGACAGCCACUCCCAGAUACUUACUUAUGAUCACUGCAAGCUCAGGCUGCCUGCCAGCAGCAAGCUUUGGGGAGUGAUUGGGGCUUGCAUUUUAAAAAAAGUUGUGAAGGGAAAUAUGGAGCAGCGGAUUAGUCCCUGCAUGCUGAAGAUGCUGUUGUCUGCCAGCAAGUGCUGCCUUUCCUUUGCCCCAGGAAGGCCGGGAAUGGAGUGAGUCGGGCCUCUUCGUAUGGAGGACUAAUGCUGGUGUUGACCAGGAAGUGCCAGAAAAGACCAGGCACUGACAAAGAGAGACGAAUAAAGGAGAAGCCUCAUGUGAAAGGACAAUUCAUGUUUCUAUACUAAUGGCCUCUCCAGACUGUUUUUUUAUUGUUGUGUUCCUUUGAGGCUGUAUUCUGCAGUAUGUCAUUUGUGCAAUAAUAGUGGAUUUAUACUGGACUGUCCAUACAUCAUUCCACUUUGUUGGUUGUUCUGUGAUGCUUUCCCACUCUUAGCACAUUAUUACCAUCUGGAGGGGCACUCAUGAGCUAUAGUGCAACAAAAGCAGGAUAACACACCCAAACAUUUGUGGUAUCAGGGCCGGCACCAAAAGGUGGCCAGGAUGGGCCCUGGCCGAGGGCACCUCAAGGACCCCUUGUUAGGGUGGAAGAGUAGUGCUCCCCUUCCGCAAUCUGUGGCAGGCUCCCUGCUGCGGAUCGCAGGAAGGGAGCUUCCAGGCAGCCCGCCCAUUUGCUUGCUCCACCUACCUCUCUCCUGUCUUUGCUGCUGUGAGUGCUGCGUGCGCAGGCUUUCCAUCUACAAAGAUGGCGGUGGAGGCUUCUUUAAGGGGCUGAUGCCCCUACCACCAUCUUGGUUGAUGGCAGGCAUGUGCCUGCCAUCUGUGAGAAAUAGGUCAUACUCUUUUUUUCAGGUUUAUCCUGAAAGCACCUGUGACUCAACAAUAGUUGAGGAUGGCUUCAAGGUUCAGCUGGAAACCUUUGAGGAGAUAUUUAAAUGAGAGUUCUUUUGUCCUAUUUUAACUUGAUGUGCCAUUUCAGCUGAUUUAAAAUUUCCAACUAGAUACUUUAGGAGACACUGCUUUCCAGGGCAUACAUGCUUGUGGUUAACUCAAGGCUUUCGUUUACUAGGUAACCUUGCUUUUAAGAUUUUGGACUGAAAUACCCAACAGCUUUAAUUAUACAAGGAAGGGGAACAGAGAUGCUCUUCAUGCUUCUCUUUAAGACACCCAGCCCAAAGCUGAUAGCAAAAACCUGUUUUGACAGGGCACUGGAGAACUUGGGAUUUCAGCUAGUAAUAGAAAUGAAAGGGAGUUUAUGUCCAAAUUAAAGUGUCCUAUAAUUGAAGGCAGAAAUAGAGAAACUGUGGGCCUCUAGAUUGCUGAACUACAACUCCCAUCAUCCCACCCUGUUAGCCACACUGUCUGGGGCUGAUGGAAGUUGGAGUCCAACAUCAUCUGGAGGGUGUAUGAAUGAGAGUAAAGAAGCCCCAACGGCUGUUUUAUUUAAUAAAAAGUUUCUACAGGAGUCAUUUUGAGUUGAGAAGUGCAGGAGGGGAGGGGAAUAUGUAACCUUUUCCUUGCUGGACUUUUUUCUACUCCAACACCCCCUCCCCCAAUCAGCUGCUUUUUUCCUCCUGCCAGGUUCCAGAAAUAUAUUUGUUUAUCCUUGGAAACCCAUGUCUAUAACCCCAUGUGUCUGAAAGGAGGAGAGGCCAAGCUGGGAGUGUGAUUUAAUUUGGAAUAUAAAAUAUUCAAUGGGUAAACUGUUUUUAAUUAAAUCAGGUAUGUGCA
Molecule: long non-coding RNA, 1842 nt
Organism: Rhineura floridana
Lineage: Eukaryota; Metazoa; Chordata; Lepidosauria; Squamata; Rhineuridae
Exons: 2
Source: RefSeq, a predicted model, not a curated record